GGGGAGAAAAGAUGAACUUGACUUUGAAUUUACUAAGCUUUAGAUAAGGAAGUAAACCUAGAUGAAAUUGCCCAUCAGGCAGAGGAAAGGUAAGGUUGAAGUUAGAAAAGUAGAUUUAGUUGUCAUCUCUGUAGAAGGGAUUCUUACCAGACAGAGAUUUUCUAAAGAAGGGACUGAGGCCUGAGGGAAUGGCUUUACUUAGGAACUACAAGAAGAAAAAAAAAAAAAAUGAAGAAAUGGUCAUUGACUUAUUUGAAGCUUAGGAUAAUCCUCAAACAAUGAGAUUUCACUGUAUUUUGUUUUUCUUUUUAUUUAUUUAUUUAUCUGAAGCAGAGUCUUGCUCUGUCACCCAGGAGAAUCACUUAAGGCCAGGAGUGCAGCCUGGGCAACAUAGCAGGAUCCUAUCCCUUAA
Molecule: small RNA, 412 nt
Filed under: Pongo abelii (Sumatran orangutan)
Lineage: Eukaryota; Metazoa; Chordata; Mammalia; Primates; Hominidae
Description: sense intronic
Source: RNAcentral